UAGUUAUGUUCUUUAAAACCUAAAGAAUUUGGCGGUGUUUUAGUCUAUUUAGAGGAAUUUGCCCCUUGAUCGAUAUUCCCCGUUUUAUCUUACUUGAUUUUGUUAUCAGUUUGUAUACCGCUGUUAUAAGUUUAUUUUAUUAGAAUAAAAAUUUACUUUAUUUAUUAUUUUAAUUUAUUUCAAGUCAAGGUGCAGUUUAUAAUUAAGUGUGAGGUUAAUUACAAUAUUAUUUGAGUAUAAUGAAUUAUUGAUUUAAAAGUUUUUAUGAAGGUGGAUUUAAUAGUAAUUUUAUUUAUAGUAUUAUUUUGAUUUUAGCUCUAAAAUGAGUACACAUCGCCCGUCGCUCUA
This 348-nucleotide ribosomal RNA is filed under the name Acacus sarawacus. RNAcentral's name for it is "partial small subunit ribosomal RNA". Lineage: Eukaryota; Metazoa; Arthropoda; Insecta; Phasmatodea; Lonchodidae. The record is from RNAcentral.